CGUGUAGGCGGCUUGGCAAGUCCGUUGUGAAAGCCCACAGCUUAACUGUGGAACUGCGACGGAAACUGCUUUGCUAGAGUGCGGGAGAGGAGAGUGGAAUUCCCAGUGUAGAGGUGAAAUUCGUAGAUACUGGGAGGAACACCGGUGGCGAAGGCGGCUCUCUGGACCGCUACUGACGCUGAGACGCGAAAGCUAGGGGAGCAAACG
This 207-nucleotide ribosomal RNA is filed under the name uncultured bacterium. Its description in RNAcentral is "partial 16S ribosomal RNA". It matches the Rfam family "Bacterial small subunit ribosomal RNA", at positions 568 to 774 of the family's 1533-position model. The record is from RNAcentral.